Molecule: non-coding RNA, 1007 nt
Organism: Pelobates cultripes (western spadefoot toad)
Lineage: Eukaryota; Metazoa; Chordata; Amphibia; Anura; Pelobatidae
Source: the annotation of a GenBank genome assembly
CUAAACUGAAAUGUUUUUCUUUUUAUUAAACAAACAUAUCCAAAUACAAUGACAAUAACAAAAAAGGUAACACAGUAAUGCACGUUAUAUAUUUUGUGAACACCAACAUAAUAAAAAAAGACAUUAUGCAAGAACAAAAAAACAUAAAUAAAUAUGCAAUAGUAAAAUAUAUUCUAUCUCUAACAAAGAGGAGUAAGUUCUCUCUAUUACAAUCAUGAACUGAUGUCUAUAGUUAUAUCUUUACUACAGACAGAGUAACAAAUUAGAUGUUAUAUUCAAAAUAAAUGUAUUAAAAUAAGUUUUGGGUGAUAAAUACUUUUUUAGAAAAUUGAUACUGAUUCUUUGUAAUUGCUUUUUGAUUUGGAUCCAGAUAUCAACAAGAAUUAGUAUUCCAGAAUUUUUCACUAAAUUGUGAAUGGGCAAAAAUGCAAAAUGAAUACAAAGUGAAUUACAGAUUUUAGGUCAGAAUAACUAAAUUUAAACAAUUCUCAAAGUGAGCUAUAUUUUCAGGCCACAAAGCACACCGAAGCUGUGGCCACGUUUGUAUAGUUAAACUUUCUGUAGGACGUGGUUGUGAAAGCAUGAUGGGUAUAUAUUGUGGUUUGUUAAGAAUUGAUUAAAAUACUCCAAAUAUAAAUAACGUUUGCUACUGAUACAAUGGUAUACCCUAUAUUAUUCUCAUCUGUUUAUUGGGUUAUAUUUUGUAGUUAGCUCAGUAGUUAUCAUGUAUCUUGGCCAAUGCUAUUUUCUACAAUUAAGAUAAAGAAAUGUUUUAAAUGUAUAACACCCCCACAGAGUCCUUUACCUAUGCACCUCCUCUCACAUCAUUGCAAGAAAAAAACUGUAACCCAAUAUUGCAGGCUGAUUUUAGAUAGGUGUGAUUAUCCCUACCUCUUCCUUAAAGGGCACCCCUUUACUCAGGGGUGGGAGGAGUUUUCUUUUCUUAGACCAUACCCCCUCUCAAGCCCAUGUUCCCCUUUCUAUAACCUCUGUCCCCCUUUCACAGC